CCUACGGGCGGCAGCAGUGGGGAAUAUUGGACAAUGGGGGGAACCCUGAUCCAGCCAUGCCGCGUGUGUGAAGAAGGCCCUCGGGUGGUAAAGCACUUUCAGUGAGGAAGAACGCCUGGUGGUUAAUACCCAUCAGGAAAGACAUCACUCACAGAAGAAGCACCGGCUAACUCCGUGCCAGCAGCCGCGGUAAUACGGAGGGUGCGAGCGUUAAUCGGAAUUACUGGGCGUAAAGCGCGCGUAGGUGGCUUGAUAAGCCGGUUGUGAAAGCCCCGGGCUCAACCUGGGAACGGCAUCCGGAACUGUCAAGCUAGAGUGCAGGAGAGGAAGGUAGAAUUCCCGGUGUAGCGGUGAAAUGCGUAGAGAUCGGGAGGAAUACCAGUGGCGAAGGCGGCCUUCUGGACUGACACUGACACUGAGGUGCGAAAGCGUGGGUAGCAAACAGGAUUAGAUACCCCUGUAGUC
Molecule: ribosomal RNA, 465 nt
Filed under: Vreelandella stevensii
Lineage: Bacteria; Pseudomonadati; Pseudomonadota; Gammaproteobacteria; Oceanospirillales; Halomonadaceae
Description: partial 16S ribosomal RNA
Rfam family: Bacterial small subunit ribosomal RNA
Source: RNAcentral